This 451-nucleotide long non-coding RNA is filed under the name Anser brachyrhynchus (Pink-footed goose). RNAcentral describes it as "lncRNA (ENSABRG00000008301.1)". Lineage: Eukaryota; Metazoa; Chordata; Aves; Anseriformes; Anatidae. The record is from RNAcentral.
UUAUUUAUUUAUUUUCCUGGCUUAACCUAUGAACAGGGACCUGGUCUGGUAGAAGUGGUGGCACUCAGUUCAGGAGCUUGAAGUAGCAGAAUGAGGAAGAAAUUGAACUUUUUGUGGCUCUGAAACUAUUUUCAGAGAAUGGUCUAUGAUAGUUCAUGAAAUACUUAAAGGACCUCUGGAAUGGAGAAACCAUCCUGCAUUGUCAGGGGAGCUUGAAUUACAGGAAGCUGUGUGUGUAUCCGAAUACUCUUAUUGCCCUACACCUGUGACAUGCCUCCUUGGAGGUCAGGUGCAGCCUAGGAAGAGUCAUGAGGGAGCUGUUUCUGCCUGUCCUGCAGCUCCCAUGGGACUUCAGGUGCAUGCCCUGGGCCCAAGGGAAAGGGCCACUGCAAUCCAUUCUCCUGUCCCAGCAGAGGGCCAGCUAUGCAGCCUGACCAGGAAGUACUGCUGA